This 61-nucleotide transfer RNA is filed under the name Xylonora corona. RNAcentral describes it as "tRNA-Phe". Lineage: Eukaryota; Metazoa; Mollusca; Bivalvia; Myida; Xylophagaidae. The record is from RNAcentral.
GUUUUUGAAGUUCUAAGAACGUGAUGUUGAAACCAUCAAGGUUAACUUUGUUACUAAAACG